UCCGGUUUAACACCGGCAGUCUCGUUAGAGUGCCCGACUUUACUCGCUGGCAACUAACGAUAGGGGUUUCGCUCGUUAUGGGACUUAACCCGACACUUCACAGCACGAGCUGACGACAGCCAUGCAGCACCUGUGAUUGUUCCGGAUUGGAUACCGGUCCUAAGUGUUUCCACUUCGUACUUCAACCAUGUCAAGUCCAGGAUAAGGUUCUUCGCGUUGCUUCGAAUUGAGCCACAUGCUCCACCGCUUGUGUGAGCCCCCGUCAAUUCCUUUGAGUUUUAGCCUUGCGACCGUACUUCCCAGGUGGCAGACUUAACAAUUUCGCUCCGACCGCAACGGGGUGUAACCCGCUGCAAUCUAGUCUGCAUCGUUUAGGGCGUGGACUAC
Molecule: unclassified non-coding RNA, 387 nt
Filed under: uncultured Tepidisphaerales bacterium
Lineage: Bacteria; Pseudomonadati; Planctomycetota; Phycisphaerae; Tepidisphaerales
Description: contains 16S-23S intergenic spacer region
Source: RNAcentral